This 824-nucleotide ribosomal RNA is filed under the name uncultured organism. Its description in RNAcentral is "bacterial SSU rRNA". It matches the Rfam family "Bacterial small subunit ribosomal RNA", at positions 86 to 943 of the family's 1533-position model. The record is from RNAcentral.
UCGGGUUGAGUGGCGGACGGGUGAGUAACGCGUGAGAAUCUGCCUUGGGGUCGGGGACAACCACUGGAAACGGUGGCUAAUACCGGAUAAGCCUUUGGGUAAAAGAUUUAUUGCCCCAAGAGGAGCUCGCGUCUGAUUAGCUAGUUGGUGAGGUAAGAGCUCACCAAGGCAGCGAUCAGUAGCUGGUCUGAGAGGACGAUCAGCCACACUGGGACUGAGACACGGCCCAGACUCCUACGGGAGGCAGCAGUGGGGAAUUUUCCGCAAUGGGCGAAAGCCUGACGGAGCAAGACCGCGUGAGGGAGGAAGGCUCUUGGGUUGUAAACCUCUUUUCUCAGGGAAGAAGCUCUGACGGUACCUGAGGAAUCAGCCUCGGCUAACUCCGUGCCAGCAGCCGCGGUAAUACGGAGGAGGCAAGCGUUAUCCGGAAUUAUUGGGCGUAAAGCGUCCGCAGGUGGCGAUUCAAGUCUGCUGUCAAAGCACGGGGCUUAACUCCGUUAAGGCAGUGGAAACUGAAUAGCUAGAGUGCCGUAGGGGUAGAGGGAAUUCCCGGUGUAGCGGUGAAAUGCGUAGAGAUCGGGAAGAACAUCGGUGGCGAAAGCGCUCUACUGGACGGCAACUGACACUCAGGGACGAAAGCUAGGGGAGCGAAUGGGAUUAGAUACCCCAGUAGUCCUAGCUGUAAACGAUGGAUACUAGGUGUAGCUUGUAUCGACCCGAGCUGUGCCGAAGCUAACGCGUUAAGUAUCCCGCCUGGGGAGUACGCACGCAAGUGUGAAACUCAAAGGAAUUGACGGGGGCCCGCACAAGCGGUGGAGUAUGUG